RNAcentral lists this transfer RNA (49 nucleotides) under Rattus norvegicus (Norway rat). The record is from Rfam by way of RNAcentral. Lineage: Eukaryota; Metazoa; Chordata; Mammalia; Rodentia; Muridae.
GGGGAUUUAGCUCAGUGGUAGAGCGCUUGCCUAGCAAGUUCAGUCCCCA